GAGUGUAGUUUAAUGGCAGAACUUCAGCCUUCCAAGCUGACUAUGCGGGUUCGAUUCCCGUCACUC
Molecule: transfer RNA, 66 nt
Filed under: fish gut metagenome
Rfam family: tRNA
About the family: Transfer RNA (tRNA) molecules are approximately 80 nucleotides in length.
Source: RNAcentral